This 254-nucleotide ribosomal RNA is filed under the name uncultured bacterium. RNAcentral's name for it is "partial 16S ribosomal RNA". It matches the Rfam family "Bacterial small subunit ribosomal RNA", at positions 524 to 776 of the family's 1533-position model. The record is from RNAcentral.
UACGUAGGGCGCAAGCGUUAUCCGGAAUUAUUGGGCGUAAAGAGCUCGUAGGCGGUCUGUCGCGUCGGUCGUGAAAACUUGGGGCUUAACCCUGAGCUUGCGGUCGAUACGGGCAUGACUGGAGUUCGGCAGGGGAGACUGGAAUUCCUGGUGUAGCGGUGAAAUGCGCAGAUAUCAGGAGGAACACCGGUGGCGAAGGCGGGUCUCUGGGCCGAUACUGACGCUGAGGAGCGAAAGCGUGGGGAGCGAACAGG